RNAcentral lists this long non-coding RNA (414 nucleotides) under Manihot esculenta (cassava). RNAcentral describes it as "long non-coding RNA (MESC_LNC010367)". The record is from RNAcentral. Lineage: Eukaryota; Viridiplantae; Streptophyta; Magnoliopsida; Malpighiales; Euphorbiaceae.
CCAUUGAUAGUGAUAUUAUUUUCUGGAAGAUCAGAUGAAUCUCAUAGAGUUCAGACAACAUUAUUAUUAUUUUUAUUUUUAUUUUCUCUGACUUGUCUUUCCUUCACUUUCUUAGUAUUAUAUGUCUGUUUGAAAGUAUGACGUAUGCGCUUUGGUUUCUAACAAUUAAUCAAGUCGUUAAAAAUAAAAAACAAAAAAAUAAAAAAAUAUUUCCAUCUAUUUGUUAAAUAUUAAAAAAAGCUAUUUUAUGGACUUUGCUAUAAGUUGUCUUUCUUUCCAUUGGCUUGAUGGUGGUUGCUUUCUUCAUCGACGGCGUGGAGUCUAGAGGGACGCUCCUGCUUCUUCCUGCGGGCUCUAGCUGAUGAAAAUUCUUAACGAUGUAUUAACAAUUAACAAUAUAAUAAUAUUUUGGAG